RNAcentral lists this ribosomal RNA (809 nucleotides) under Escherichia coli. Its description in RNAcentral is "partial 23S ribosomal RNA". It matches the Rfam family "Bacterial large subunit ribosomal RNA", at positions 498 to 1306 of the family's 2925-position model. Lineage: Bacteria; Pseudomonadati; Pseudomonadota; Gammaproteobacteria; Enterobacterales; Enterobacteriaceae. The record is from RNAcentral.
GUACCGUGAGGGAAAGGCGAAAAGAACCCCGGCGAGGGGAGUGAAAAAGAACCUGAAACCGUGUACGUACAAGCAGUGGGAGCACGCUUAGGCGUGUGACUGCGUACCUUUUGUAUAAUGGGUCAGCGACUUAUAUUCUGUAGCAAGGUUAACCGAAUAGGGGAGCCGAAGGGAAACCGAGUCUUAACUGGGCGUUAAGUUGCAGGGUAUAGACCCGAAACCCGGUGAUCUAGCCAUGGGCAGGUUGAAGGUUGGGUAACACUAACUGGAGGACCGAACCGACUAAUGUUGAAAAAUUAGCGGAUGACUUGUGGCUGGGGGUGAAAGGCCAAUCAAACCGGGAGAUAGCUGGUUCUCCCCGAAAGCUAUUUAGGUAGCGCCUCGUGAAUUCAUCUCCGGGGGUAGAGCACUGUUUCGGCAAGGGGGUCAUCCCGACUUACCAACCCGAUGCAAACUGCGAAUACCGGAGAAUGUUAUCACGGGAGACACACGGCGGGUGCUAACGUCCGUCGUGAAGAGGGAAACAACCCAGACCGCCAGCUAAGGUCCCAAAGUCAUGGUUAAGUGGGAAACGAUGUGGGAAGGCCCAGACAGCCAGGAUGUUGGCUUAGAAGCAGCCAUCAUUUAAAGAAAGCGUAAUAGCUCACUGGUCGAGUCGGCCUGCGCGGAAGAUGUAACGGGGCUAAACCAUGCACCGAAGCUGCGGCAGCGACGCUGAUGCGUUGUUGGGUAGGGGAGCGUUCUGUAAGCCUGCGAAGGUGUGCUGUGAGGCAUGCUGGAGGUAUCAGAAGUGCGAAUGCUGACAUAAG